RNAcentral lists this ribosomal RNA (253 nucleotides) under uncultured bacterium. Its description in RNAcentral is "partial 16S ribosomal RNA". It matches the Rfam family "Bacterial small subunit ribosomal RNA", at positions 524 to 776 of the family's 1533-position model. The record is from RNAcentral.
UACGAAGGGUGCAAGCGUUACUCGGAAUUACUGGGCGUAAAGCGUGCGUAGGUGGUUUGUUAAGUCCGAUGUGAAAGCCCUGGGCUCAACCUGGGAAUGGCAUUGGAUACUGGCAGGCUAGAGUGCGGUAGAGGGCAGUGGAAUUCCCGGUGUAGCAGUGAAAUGCGCAGAUAUCGGGAGGAACACCAGUAGCGAAGGCGACACUCUGGGCCGGUACUGACGCUGAGGAGCGAAAGCGUGGGGAGCAAACAGG